AGAGACUACAGAGGUCAUCAAGUUGACGCAUCAAUGUUUACAUGUGAACAAACAGACGCAUAAUAGCUCUUGAGCUUGCCAUUGGGAAGUGAAAAUCAACUGCUUGAAUAAAUGUAAGGACUCAGGUAGACAUCACCUUGUGACUCAACAGCAGCCAAUAAGAUGGAAAUAAAGGCCAUGAAGUUAUCGGAUGGCAUCUACAAGGAAUACUUAGAUGAGGAGGCUGGUCAAGUGAAGCAGCGGGAGUGGAGAAGGAACAUGAGGCCACCUUAUGUGACCAUCUCUCACAUUAGCCUUCUGCACUCACAGUUCCCUCCAUGCACAGCUGAAAAUGUUCUUCAGUUUAAAAACUGGGUGGCCGAGGCGGGCGGAUCACGAGGUCAGGAGUUCAAGACCAGCCUAGCCAACAUAGUGAAACCCUGUCUCUACUAAAAAUACAAAAACUUAGCUGGACAUGGUGGUGGGCGUCUGUAAUCCCAGCUACUUGGGAGGCUGAGACAGGAUAACUGCUUGAACCCGGGAAGUGGAGGUUGCAGUGAGCGGAGAUCGUGCCAUUGCACUCCAGCCUGGGCGACAGAGCAAGACUCCGUCAAGAAAAAACAAAACAAAACAAAAAACUCAUGUGAUUAGAUUGCACUUACCUAAAUAAGCAGGAUCAUUUCCCUAUCAUAAGGUUCUGAACCUUAAUCACAUCUGCAGAGUUCCUUUUGACAGGUAAGACAAUAUAUUCAUUUUCUGAAGAGUUAGAUCCAGGCAAGUUUGAGGGACUAUUAUUCUGCCUACCACACCCUCUCUAUAGAUUGUCCUAUCCCUCAUGGUGUCUGACUUCCUCCAAGAACUCCAAAGGAAAGGGAUUACAUUUUUUAUUUCUUCACUCCUGGAUGCUCCUUGGUCCUCAUGCAAAUCUGCCCACUGUGUCUCCAAAAGAAUUCCAACUAUGUAUUUCAGGGGAACCAAAUAUGAGAGCUGCAAGGAACUUUUCUUAAAAGCCUUUGACAUCUCCCCUUUCUGUCUUCUUUCUUCUUUCUCCUCUAGCUAACCUGAAACAGGUGUGAUGGUUACUUCCAGCCACUGUUGUGGACCAAGGGAAGGCAGAGCUCUGCCUAGUGUUAGGGAGGGAGAAUGUCUGAAGCAGCCUGAUCCCUGAUGUCCUUUAGGCUGUCAUACCGGACCUGUGCAGCAUCCAUCCAGACUUCUACCAUAUUAGAACCAAAUACACUUUUAUCUUAUUUAAACCACUCUUUGUUUUAAAUCUGUCUAUUAAUAGGAAGCCAAACUAAUCCUACCUGAUGCAAGAAAGAGAAUAGAAUUCUAAGAAACCCAUCUUCAUUGGCCAAUAAUUUUCACUUAGC
Long non-coding RNA from Homo sapiens (human), 1352 nucleotides. Ensembl annotates it as long intergenic non-protein coding RNA 507. The record is from Ensembl. Lineage: Eukaryota; Metazoa; Chordata; Mammalia; Primates; Hominidae.